This is a long non-coding RNA of Megalobrama amblycephala (Wuchang bream), 1313 nucleotides long. RefSeq lists it as uncharacterized. The record is from RefSeq and is a predicted model, not a curated record. NCBI's taxonomy places the organism in Eukaryota, Metazoa, Chordata, Actinopteri, Cypriniformes, Xenocyprididae. The transcript is spliced from 3 exons.
GGAAUCAUUCAGAGCGCGAGUGGAACUACAGCGAUUCAGCAGUGACCGGCGCAGAUCCAACCAGCUGGAGGAUCCGAAGAGAUUUCUGAAGCGAUACAAAUGCUCCUACCGUGGAAUGUCUUCCUUCACGUCUUCUUAAGAUUUUAAAGAAGAGGCUGUGCUGGACAGUAGGAGAUGUUGAAGUUUUGACUGUGGGUUUGCGCUCCCUCUCACCCACGCUCUGUCUCCAGAAGCUGCAGGGGUUUCGCUGAGUUGGCAAAAAUGCGUCGCGACGCAGGAACAGAAAUAAACUGUCGGCCUUCAAGAACUCCAACACACACGAACAUCUUGUCCUCAUCGGACCUCCAACAGGUGCUCGGCUCAGCGCGGAUGAAGCUCUUCUUGAAGCUUCUGGAGGGCACAGAAGUCCACGUGACAAGGUUUGAGUGAAAUAUUUUGUUUUUUUCUCCCCCCUCUUGCUGGCCUUGUUGAACAUUCAACGCUGUCGGUGAGUUUUUGACACUGAAAAACCAUCGACCGUUGAUUGUGCCCUGAGGCCACGCCCUCUUCAGCCCAACAGAUCUCACUGGGACACGCCCACCUCUAUACAUUUCUUCAAAGGUCAUAAUCAACAUUCAUUGCUGUCGGUGGGUUUAGUUUUGUUACAGCUCUCUGAACAAUGAAUGUAACUAUGGCCCAGAUUCCUGCCUGUCAUGCCAGCGUACAUCACACUCGAUGCCAGUACAGCGGAGAUCAGCUUUUCUGCUCCUUUCUUCUCCCACUCUCAUCAUCACGGAUCUGGAGUUCUUCAAGGAAGACGCAAAUAGAAGCAGCCUCGCUGACUGCUUCCUCCUGCAUCUAAUUGGUGGUUGUGUAAAUGUGUGUGUGUGGAGCGGAUAGAAGGAAAUGGAGGAUGAAUGUGUAAUCAUUUAGAUGUUCUUCUCAUUUGGCUGUUUUGUCUCUCAAAUUAUAUACUGUGUUCACUGCAGCCUGAAAUGAGCCUAAAAUGGCACUUGCUGUUGAAUACUGUGUCCUCCCUGUCAGCUGUGUGUCUGUUUGGUGUUUUGUGUGCACUUGGAAGUGUACGAGGUGAGAGUUUGUGUUUGUGCAACUUUUUAGUCUAUGUACAUAUGUAGCGUGAGACAAUGCAUGCUUCUCUGUUACAGACAUCAAAGGGAAAAAGCUUCAGUCUUAAAAUCUCCAGAUACUGAAACACAACAACACAGCCAUUGUCUAAUCCCGUCUAUUUUCCAUCUCUUUCUUUGACUACCUUUCAUUCCUCCAUGUUCUCCGCGGAACAUUCUCUGAAUAAAAUCAUAGAAUCUCAAAUAAAA